RNAcentral lists this ribosomal RNA (370 nucleotides) under uncultured bacterium. RNAcentral describes it as "bacterial SSU rRNA". It matches the Rfam family "Bacterial small subunit ribosomal RNA", at positions 28 to 404 of the family's 1533-position model. The record is from RNAcentral.
GACGAACGCUGGCGGCGUGCUUAACACAUGCAAGUCGAGCGGAAAGGCCCUUCGGGGUACUCGAGCGGCGAACGGGUGAGUAACACGUGAGUAACCUGCCCUGGACUUUGGGAUAACCCUCGGAAACGGGGGCUAAUACCGAAUAUGACCUGACAUCGCAUGAUGUUUGGUGGAAAGUUUUUCGGUCUGGGAUGGGCUCGCGGCCUAUCAGCUUGUUGGUGGGGUGAUGGCCUACCAAGGCGACGACGGGUAGCCGGCCUGAGAGGGCGACCGGCCACACUGGACUGAGACACGGCCCAGACUCCUACGGGAGGCAGCAGUGGGGAAUAUUGCACAAUGGGCGGAAGCCUGAUGCAGCGACGCCGCGUGA